UACGUAGGUGGCAAGCGUUGUCCGGAUUUAUUGGGCGUAAAGCGAGCGCAGGCGGUUUCUUAAGUCUGAUGUGAAAGCCCCCGGCUCAACCGGGGAGGGUCAUUGGAAACUGGGGAACUUGAGUGCAGAAGAGGAGAGUGGAAUUCCAUGUGUAGCGGUGAAAUGCGUAGAUAUAUGGAGGAACACCAGUGGCGAAGGCGACUCUCUGGUCUGUAACUGACGCUGAGGCUCGAAAGCGUGGGUAGCAAACAGG
RNAcentral lists this ribosomal RNA (253 nucleotides) under uncultured bacterium. RNAcentral's name for it is "partial 16S ribosomal RNA". It matches the Rfam family "Bacterial small subunit ribosomal RNA", at positions 524 to 776 of the family's 1533-position model. The record is from RNAcentral.